CAAUAAUUUUUACAUCAUAUAAUUUAUACCGACAUUAUUAGUUAUGUAUAGUCACUAUGGAUAAACCUUCGCGGAGGCUACUACACUGCCCAUAAUGCAAGACUCUUGAACUUGACUCCAAUCUAGGUUGUAUAAGACUGUCUACCGGUUUUAGAGGGACAUCUCCAGUAGAAUUACCUGACUGACCCUUAGAUUUGUGAUCCGCAAUACGUGAUUCCGAAUUGUCGUCAAAAAAAGCAAACACAGCGGGAUGUAAAUGAUCUUUUAAAUGACUGACCCAUAAUUGAUUUAUAUGGACUUUCCUUAUGAUAUUGCUAGACUAACCCUUACUAAGUUUAAACAUCUGCUUAAGCACUUACAAAUUCUACCAGUAACCCAUUUUACUGGGCCUUUUUCCCCCCUACGACUGACCAAGACAGGAUCCUUAAUUUUAAAGUUUUGCGAAGUGACGUUACUGUUGCCUGGCGAUAACCUUGAGGCUUUAUUAAGGUUACCA
This 496-nucleotide long non-coding RNA is filed under the name Androctonus crassicauda. The record is from RNAcentral. Lineage: Eukaryota; Metazoa; Arthropoda; Arachnida; Scorpiones; Buthidae.